Molecule: long non-coding RNA, 312 nt
Organism: Brassica rapa (field mustard)
Lineage: Eukaryota; Viridiplantae; Streptophyta; Magnoliopsida; Brassicales; Brassicaceae
Source: RefSeq, a predicted model, not a curated record
AAGAAGAAGAAGAAAGCUUGAAAUGCAAGUCAAGAUGAAGAAGAAAUAAGAGCCAACAAAGAAGCUAAAGAGGAGUUGAGUUGUAACUUUGGUCACAAAGAAUAAAUUCAAAAAAAAAAAAAAGUAAAAUCUAGUCAGUUUAGUUAAGCCAACAAGGAAGAGUGAAAAAGUCUAGCUCGCUAGACAUUAGGAGUGGUUAUUAGAGGUAAGGUUUAACGUUGUAGUUGUUAACGUGUGUGUCUGUAAUACGUAGUAUAGAGAAUUGUGUGUUGGAUGUUGAGAAAUGAAAUGAGAGAUAUAUUAACAAUGUAA